This 68-nucleotide transfer RNA is filed under the name Carinascincus pretiosus. RNAcentral's name for it is "tRNA-His". It matches the Rfam family "tRNA". From Rfam's summary of the family: Transfer RNA (tRNA) molecules are approximately 80 nucleotides in length. Their secondary structure includes four short double-helical elements and three loops (D, anti-codon, and T loops). Lineage: Eukaryota; Metazoa; Chordata; Lepidosauria; Squamata; Scincidae. The record is from RNAcentral.
GUCACUAUAGUUUAAUAAAACGUUAGAAUGUGGACCUAAAAAUAGAAGCUUAACACUUCUUAGUGACC